GAUGAACGCUGGCGGCGUGCCUAAUACAUGCAAGUCGAGCGAAGCGCGGACGGGUGAGUAAAACGUGGAUAACCUCCUAUAAGACUGGGAUAACCUCGUGGAACCGGUGCUAAUACCGCAACUUAUAGCUGGAUGCGCGCUGCAUUAGCUAGUUGGUAAGGUAACGGCUUACCAAGGCAACGACGCAUAGCCGACCUGAGAGGGUGAUCGGCCAAACUGGAACUGAGACACGGUCCAGACUCCUACGGGAGGCAGCAGUAGGGAAUCUUCCGCAAUGGGCGAAAGCCUGAUGGAGCAACGCCGCGUGUGUGAUGAAGGGCUUCGGGUUGUAAAGCUCUGUUAGUAGGGAAGCGUUACCUAAUCAGAAAGCAACGGCUAACUACGUGCCAGCAGCCGCGGUAAUAC
This 405-nucleotide ribosomal RNA is filed under the name uncultured bacterium. RNAcentral's name for it is "partial 16S ribosomal RNA". It matches the Rfam family "Bacterial small subunit ribosomal RNA", at positions 28 to 526 of the family's 1533-position model. The record is from RNAcentral.